This 372-nucleotide unclassified non-coding RNA is filed under the name uncultured Flavobacteriales bacterium. Its description in RNAcentral is "contains 16S-23S intergenic spacer region". Lineage: Bacteria; Pseudomonadati; Bacteroidota; Flavobacteriia; Flavobacteriales. The record is from RNAcentral.
UCACGACUUGCGUCGGCAGUCUUGCUAAAGUCCCCGACAUUACUCGCUGGCAACUAACAAUAAGGGUUGCGCUCGUUGAAGGACUUAACCUAACACCUCACGGCACGAGCUGACGACAACCAUGCAGCACCUUGCGCUCCGUCCGAAGACUAAAUUGUUUCCAACUUAUUCGUAGCACAUUUAAGCCUUGGUAAGGUUCCUCGCGUAUCAUCGAAUUAAACCACAUGCUCCACCGCUUGUGCGGGCCCCCGUCAAUUCCUUUGAGUUUCAAUCUUGCGACCGUACUCCUCAGGUGGAUCACUUAUCACUUUCGCUUGACCACUGAUAUAAAAAUACCAAUAGUUAGUGAUCAUCGUUUACGGCAUGGACUAC